AUUGAACGCUGGCGGCAGGCCUAACACAUGCAAGUCAAACGGUAACAGGAAACAGCUUGCUGUUUCGCUGACGAGUGGAGGACGGGUGAGUAAUGUCUGGGAAACUGCCUGAUGGAGGGGGAUAACUACUGGAAACGGUAGCUAAUACCGCAUAACGUCGCAAGACCAAAGAGGGGGACCCUCGGGCCUCUUGCCAUCGGAUGUGCCCAGAUGGGAUUAGCUUGUUGGUGGGGUAACGGCUCACCAAGGCGACGAUGCCUAGCUGGUCUGAGAGGAUGACCGGCCACAAUGGAACUGAGACACGGUCCAGACUCCUACGGGAGGCAGCAGGAGGGAAUCUUCCGCAAGGGGCGAAAGCCUGACGGAGCAACGCCGCGUGAGGGAUGAAGGUCUUCGGAUCGUAAAACUCUGUUAUUAGGGAAGAACAAAUGUGUAAGUAACUAUGCACGUCUUGACGGUACCUAAUCAGAAAGCCACGGCUAACUACGUG
This 490-nucleotide ribosomal RNA is filed under the name uncultured bacterium. RNAcentral describes it as "partial 16S ribosomal RNA". It matches the Rfam family "Bacterial small subunit ribosomal RNA", at positions 30 to 507 of the family's 1533-position model. The record is from RNAcentral.